Long non-coding RNA from Perca fluviatilis (European perch), 431 nucleotides. RefSeq lists it as uncharacterized. Lineage: Eukaryota; Metazoa; Chordata; Actinopteri; Perciformes; Percidae. The transcript has 3 exons. The record is from RefSeq and is a predicted model, not a curated record.
AAUUUAACAAGCUGCCUUUAGUGUGGCACACAAUGGAGACGUGUGCCCACACCUCCACGAGCGGUUGACUUCUUAGCCCGCCUCCAUCAAGCUGACUCCUCAGUGCAAUUUGAAGGAAGAUACGAAGACACACAGCAGCCAAGGAAUAAGCCAUGCGACCAUCCAUCUCUGUGACUCUUGAGCCUGCGUUGGAGCGAGGGGUCCCAUGGGGUCGUGAUCUCUACACCUUUGUAACUUCAGCAGCGGGCCACAUGAUGAGGACUCUUCAGAAACCCCGAAAAAAACGACCGUCCAAACGGCAGGUCAACCACCGUCGCUUCCUGCACAACAUGAUCCAGAGGUGUGUGGGAGCACCAGAAUGGCACUGAUAGUAAAAUGCUUCACAUUAUGUUUAUUGAUUUUCCCCAAAUUUUAUUUGAGAUACUGGAUAC